GGCUGGGCUGCUGAAUGCUGCUCUGUGCUGCCAGGUGCUGCCGGGCCAGAUUUUCCCGUGGUAGCGGCAUCCCUCCAACAUGUGCCCCCGCGGCCUCCUGUGCGCUGCGGCCGCCCCCACACCGUCCACACUCCGCGUUUAUAGCAACCAUGUUGGCCCAAAGGCUGCAAACACACGGCUGAGGCGACAUGCGCAGCACUGCUGCAGGGCCGCUGAGAGCAGAGAGAGAGCUCGGGAUUUAAAACCCUUCAGCGUCCAACAGCUGAGCUCCAGCCGGCUGUGCUGUAAGUCAGAGCUCUCAGUGGCUGGUGGCCAGUGCUGACUGGGAAGACUUCCAGCCUCAGAGGGACUGUGAUUAACCCAGGAGCGGUCAAACUCGGCAGGACGCCCUCCACAACCAGCCGCUGCCAUUUAUCCACUUUCCAAUGAAACCAAUUACUUUUACAGCAAGCCUCGGUGCCGACACUAUAUGUGUUGUUCUAGCAGACCAAUAGAGUAUAGCUGUGAAAGGAGAGGCAGACGUGAAGUAGGAAACCCUCCUGAGCUGCUUCAACAGGCUGUAAAAUAUACCUAAAGUCAGUUCCCAUGGUGACUAACUGAUGUGUGGGAGAAGCCGGCAGGACACACAAAACCUUUUCUAAAACUUACCUUUGUUAUUGUUUGUAUUUCUACUGCUCAUCUUCUGAAAUUAGAACAGUUGUAAUUGUAGGAAUUGUAGCUUGGGAUGAUGACACAUUUAAACUUUUAUUUUGCAUUGUGAUUACUGCUUAAAAAACUGCAGGGGAUUAAAGUGAAUCCGCUAUUAAAGCAUUAAGCGAUUAAAGCAUCACCCUAGGUUCCGCAACCCAGGGUCCCAGGGUCCCAGGGUCCCAGGGUUCCAGGGUCCCAGGGUCCCAGGGUUCCAGGGUCCCAGGGUCCCAGGGUCCCAGGGUCCCAGGGUUCUAGCCCUGGGUUUCUGUGUUUGUGGCAAACACAAGUUUAUGAUGCUUACAUAUAUUGUUCAUCCAGACAAUCUCGACAGAUGAAAACCACUUUGUGAUGUUUGGAGCGUAAAUUUAAUGCGUAGCAGUAAGAAGCUAAUGAACGGACGACAUCACGGUCACAUGACUUAAACGUCACCACCACUAAGAGUCUUGCAGAAAUGUUAAACUUAUUUUGAAGUAAAUUAUUACUUUGGCCACUGUGCCUGCAUCAAGUGGUCAUGCAGCUUAAGAUACAGAAGCAUGUCGAGGUGUCUGACCACAGAUCAGGUUCCUUGGAUCAAAUAAAAUGAUGAUGGUGAACACU
Long non-coding RNA from Acanthopagrus latus (yellowfin seabream), 1287 nucleotides. RefSeq lists it as uncharacterized. NCBI's taxonomy places the organism in Eukaryota, Metazoa, Chordata, Actinopteri, Spariformes, Sparidae. The record is from RefSeq and is a predicted model, not a curated record. The transcript has 2 exons.